CCCGCCCGGCCUGCCGGCCUCUUGCUCAGACAACGGCGGCUUGUUUCCUUGGUAUACGAAAGGCCGUGCGCCCGGCCGAGCCGCACUCCGAAUGCCUGAGGGGACGGCGGUCCCGGGUGACAUUCGUCUGUGUGGAAAACUAACGUGGUUUCUUUCCUUCCCUUCACCUCUUUGGCAGGACGGUGAGCCCAGCAGUAAGGGUCGAGGAUCUAACCUUAUGGAACCAAAGGGGAUGCAACCCUCUAAAAGUAUUUCCUCUAGGUGGUGCUCAUGUAUGGCUUUAUUCCGUAGCUGAAGCGCUGCUGUUAAUAGAAAACCAGCAAAACCAAGAACGUCUAUUUCCCCACCUUUGAUUUUUCUAUGAAACACAACGACCACAUGAACGUGGAGGCAUUAUCACAAUACGAAACUGCUGCUGCUUCCUCACAGGCUGUCAGAAUCGCUGUGAGUGAGGGUAGGCUGGGUAAACAAACCUGCUACGGGUAGGGGUUACUGCCAGCUUACAGCUUGGAAAGUUCCAGAGCACCUUGGUAUUUCCCCAAAGCCUGCUUGCUUGUAAUUGGAUUAAGUUGUACCCAACAUUUUUCACUAUUGAAGUCUUCUGCCGGCAUCAGCAAACUAGGCAGUACUGCUGGAGCAAGCAACUUUCUGUCUUUGCUUUCAACAGCUGAUGGGCUGGGUUUGGGGUUUGUGUUUUGGUUUUGGUUUUUUUUUUUGCUGAGAAGAGAACAAUGAUCCUUCACUUGGUGGUGUUUUUUUCGAGUUUCCAUUGUACUAAGCUUCCUUAAAUAGCCUUCUUGUCAUAGCCUCGGGAAAGUGGGAAUAAGUUGCAAAGGCCAUCAUUCUCAGUACUUCAACUACAGUCUUAUCAAAUUAUUCCACCCGUUCCACAUCAUCAAGAAUUCUGACAGUCUGUGGAGAAUUUCUGCAUCAUUUCAGAAAGUUACCAUUUCACCACGUUCCUGGCAUAUCUUCAGUUAUUUUUCCAGCGCUGAUCUAUUCAAGUUUACUUUCUAGGAUGUGGCUGCUUGUUCUUCUCUGAGAGGAUAUUUCCAUAAUGUAUGUUAUAGAAUUGAUUGCAUUGGAAGGGAGCCUUAAAGGCCGGCUAGUUCAACUCCUCUGCGAAGAACAGGGACACCUACAGCUACAUCAGGUUGCUCAGAGCCCCACCGUCCAGCCUGACCUCGAAUGUCUCCAGGCACGGGGCAGCCACCACUUCUCUGUGCAACCUGUUUGUAUCGAUGGAAUUAAUUUCACCCAUCACAGCCCGUGAUCUGUAGCUUCUUAGCUCAGUGAAAACUGCAGAAGACAAGCAGAGCCAGACGCUUCUGUUUCUAGCUGAUACUGCAAGCUACCAUACGCUUUGUCAUAAACCUAGUGCAAUGAGGUUGUUUAAUUAAAAAAACUCACCUUCAUAAUGAAA
Gallus gallus (chicken) is the source of this 1423-nucleotide long non-coding RNA. RefSeq annotates it as translation initiation factor IF-2-like. The transcript is spliced from 2 exons. The record is from RefSeq and is a predicted model, not a curated record. NCBI's taxonomy places the organism in Eukaryota, Metazoa, Chordata, Aves, Galliformes, Phasianidae.